GAUGAAGAACGCAGCGAAAUGCGAUAAGUAAUGUGAAUUGCAGAAUUCAGUGAAUCAUCGAAUCUUUGAACGCACAUUGCGCCCCCUGGUAUUCCGGGGGGCAUGCCUGUUCGAGCGUCAUUUCACCACUCAAGCCUCGCUUGGUAUUGGGCAACGCGGUCCGCCGCGUGCCUCAAAUCGACCGGCUGGGUCUUCUGUCCCCUAAGCGUUGUGGAAACUAUUCGCUAAAGGGUGUUCGGGAGGCUACGCCGUAAAACAACCCCAUUUCUAAGGUUGACCUCGGAUCAGAUAGGGAUACCCGCUGAACUUAAGCAUAUCAAUAAGCGGAGGA
RNAcentral lists this unclassified non-coding RNA (331 nucleotides) under soil metagenome. RNAcentral describes it as "partial contains 5.8S ribosomal RNA, internal transcribed spacer 2, and large subunit ribosomal RNA". The stretch from base 1 to 120 matches the Rfam family "5.8S ribosomal RNA", at positions 35 to 154 of the family's 154-position model. The record is from RNAcentral.